UACGUAGGGGCCGAGCGUUGUCCGGAGUUAUUGGGCGUAAAGCGCGCGCAGGCGGCUUGGCGCGCCCGACGUGAAAGCCCCCGGCUUAACCGGGGAGAGUCGUCGGGUACGGCCAGGCUUGAGGGCGGGAGAGGGUGGUGGAAUUCCCGGUGUAGUGGUGAAAUGCGUAGAGAUCGGGAGGAACACCUGUGGCGAAGGCGGAUCUCUGGGCCUUACCUGACGCUCAGGUGCGAAAGCUAGGGGAGCGAACAGG
RNAcentral lists this ribosomal RNA (253 nucleotides) under uncultured bacterium. RNAcentral's name for it is "partial 16S ribosomal RNA". It matches the Rfam family "Bacterial small subunit ribosomal RNA", at positions 524 to 776 of the family's 1533-position model. The record is from RNAcentral.